ACACCCUGCUCACCUGUGAUGGUUAAUAUUGAGUGUCAAUUUAAAUGGAUUGAAGGAUGCAAAGUAUUGUUCCUGGGUGUGUCUGUGAGGGUGUUGCCAAAGAUGAUUAACAUUUGAGUCAGUGGGCUGGGAGAGAGAGACCCACCCUCAAUCUGGUGGGCACCACCUAAUCAGCUGUCAGCAUGGCUAGAAUAAAGCAGGCAGAAGAAGGUAGAAAGAGCAGACUUGCUGAGUCUUCCAGCCUUCAUCUUCCACUCAUGCUGGAUGUUUCCUGCCCUCGAACAUCAGUCUCCAAUUUCUUCAGUUUUGGACUCUUGGACUUACACCAGUGAUUUGCCAGGGGCUAUCGAACCUUUAGCCACAGAAUGAAGGCAUUGUCGGCUUCCCUACUUUUGAGGUUUGGGGACUCAGUCUGGCUUCCUUGCUCCUCAGCUUGCAGAUGGCCUAUUGUGGGACUUCACUUGUGAUCAUAUGCAGGAAAUAGAGAAUUCUUCUCAACAGGAAAAGCUGCCUUUUGGAAGCAAGAUUUCCUCUGUCUGACCAGAAGAAUAGCCCCGCAAGAUAUCCAGGAAUCUGGAUUUAGAAGUAAGAGAUUCUCGCUCAAUCUGUCUGCUCUCUUGAAUAGAGGACACGUAAACGCUGGAACUGCUGGCAGUGGCUAUUUUCGACCAUUUGGACAAGGAAAUAGAGAAAGCCAGCCUGAAGCAAGAGACAAGAAUGGGGAGCAUGUGCCAGAGAAAAAGAGAUGAAAGACAGAGCAAGAAGUCUUCCUGUUCUCCCCACAGCCCUCCAGGACCUGAUUUCAGCCUAUACCAUCUUACCCCUCCCCUUCAAACCCAUGAGAGACUCCCCGGUGUCUUUUCAAUAGCUCCCAUUUUGCUUCAGCUAGUUCAAGUGGAGUCUUGUGACUAGAAACCAAACAAACCAUCACUAAUACUCCACAUCUUUCCAUUUUACAUAGUCUCAAAUGGCAUAGAACCAGCUUGCCAAAUUCUUUAAGCCAAAAUCCUUGAAAGGAGAAUCCAAUUCCAGCCUCUCAAAGCAGAUAAAUGAAAAUCAGUGAAAAAAUGCUUAUCCUGAAAUGUUAGGUGGGAAAAAAAGCAGGACAAAAAAUUGUAUUGUAACUACACUACAGUUUAUAUUUCUCAAUAAAUCAAGAAAUGAAGUCCUGUAUGCCUUAGGAAAACUGGAAAGGAAUUAACCAAAAUAACAGUACUUGUGUUAGGGUAACAAGAUUAUUUCCCUUCUUCUUUAUAUUUCUCUGUGUCUUGAAGUAGUUAAAUGCUUUAUAAUUUUUAAAAAAAAAUUAUAACUCCAAAGACUAUGUAGAAACAUGUAAAUACGUUUGUAACAUAAUGAUAUAUUUUUAAAAAAAGAACAUAAAAUAGGCUGUCUGUUACAUUUGUGGCUACAUACAUAGCUAAAAAAAGAACUGUCUUUUUAACACUCCAUGUAUGAAAGGAACAAUGCUACUUCCAAUGGACAUUCCCGAAUUAACCCUCAGCCUUCAUUUCCUCCCCACCUGUUUGCCCUCACUAUCCCAUCUUCACCCCAUCCUACCCAAGCUAUCCAUCUUCAGCUGAGAUUCCACCUUUCCCUGCUACCUCUCUCCCAACUUCACCCUAUUUUGGUGCCUGAGUACCUGCAUGCAUCUGCAGACAUGUAGACCCAUUCUGCCACUCACUGGCUGUCGAUUUGCCUCAUCUCUUUUAGUUCAGUCCAUUUGGAAUCACCUCAUCACAGAUGGCUUCCAGCCCAUUUUAAAUAAGCUAUGCCAAGAGGCAAUCCAGGUAGAACCGUCCCUUUCUGUUUUAGCACUAGACAAGCCAGAAAUUGGUAAAGAGUAGAAAGUAACAACCAAAAAUAAAAACCAUUGUGAACUUGGACAAUUUAUACUUGUGUUUAAAUUGCUGUAGCAUAAUUUUUAAUAACAACAAUUUAAAAUACAAUUAUGGGUAUGACCAAAAAAUAAAUGGUAAGCCAUUUACUUACAAGCAAAAAGUGAGCAUGGUUCUUUGAAGUCAUAAAACUGAUUCUAUUCAUUUCCUCAUAAUUAUAACAGCUUCCAUACAUUGAACUGGAUGUUGUUCCAGACACUCAAUAAAC
This 2106-nucleotide long non-coding RNA is filed under the name Homo sapiens (human). RNAcentral describes it as "HSALNT0211609". Lineage: Eukaryota; Metazoa; Chordata; Mammalia; Primates; Hominidae. The record is from RNAcentral.